GGCUUAACACAUGCAAGUCGAGGGGCAGCAUGAGGCCAGCUUGCUGGUCUUGAUGGCGACCGGCGCACGGGUGCGUAACACGUAUCCAACCUUCCCACCGCUCAGGGAUAGCCUUCCGAAAGAAAGAUUAACACCUGAUGGUCUCACAUGGGGACAUCCCUGUGUGAGUAAAGAUUUAUCGGCGUUGGAUGGGGAUGCGUCCGAUUAGGUAGCAGGCGGGGUAACGGCCCACCUGGCCUACGAUCGGUAGGGGUUCUGAGAGGAAGGUCCCCCACACUGGAACUGAGACACGGUCCAGACUCCUACGGGAGGCAGCAGUGAGGAAUAUUGGUCAAUGGGCGGAAGCCUGAACCAGCCAAGUAGCGUGAGGGACGACGGCCCUACGGGUUGUAAACCUCUUUUGUUUGGGAAUAAAGUGCGGGACGCGUCCCGCUUUGCAUGUACCAUGCGAAUAAGCAUCGGCUAAUUCCGUGCCAGCAGCCGCGGUAAUACGGAAGAUGCGAGCGUUAUCCGGAUUUAUUGGGUUUAAAGGGAGCGUAGGCGGGCCCUUAAGUCAGCGGUUAAAUGUCAUGGCCCAACCUUGUCAUGCCGUUGAAACUGGGGGUCUUGAAUGCACACAAGGGCGGUGGAAUUCGUCGUGUAGCGGUGAAAUGCUUAGAUAUGACGAAGAACUCCGAUUGCGAAGGCAGCCGCCUGGGGUGCGAUUGACGCUGAGGCUCGAAAGUGCGGGUAUCGAACAGGAUUAGAUACCCUGGUAGUCCGCACCGUAAACGAUGGAUGCUCGUUCUGGGCGACAGACAGUCCGGGACCGAGGGAAACCAUUAAGCAUCCCACCUGGGGAGUACGCCGGCAACGGUGAAACUCAAAGGAAUUGACGGGGGCCCGCACAAGCGGAGGAACAUGUGGUUUAAUUCGAUGAUACGCGAGGAACCUUACCCGGGCUUGAACUGCGCCUGCUGUGACCGGAGACGGUCAUUCCCUUCGGGGCAGGCGUGAGGUGCUGCAUGGUUGUCGUCAGCUCGUGCCGUGAGGUGUCGCUUAGUGCCAUACGAGCGCACCCUUGCGCGUGCAUCACGUGGUGGUGGGCACUCCGGCGACUGCAUCGCAGAUGUGAGAAGGUGGGAUGACGUCAAUCAGCACGCUACGUCGGCUACCACCCGUGUUACAUUGGGGCAAGCGCGCGCUACCUGGGACGGAUGCAUCUGGAUCCCUUCAUCGAACGGAUCACGAUUCGGACUGACUCGUGAUAUCCGCAUCACAUUAGCGCGGUGAUACU
Molecule: ribosomal RNA, 1276 nt
Filed under: uncultured rumen bacterium
Lineage: Bacteria
Description: partial 16S ribosomal RNA
Rfam family: Bacterial small subunit ribosomal RNA
Source: RNAcentral